Molecule: small nuclear RNA, 20 nt
Filed under: Arabidopsis thaliana (thale cress)
Lineage: Eukaryota; Viridiplantae; Streptophyta; Magnoliopsida; Brassicales; Brassicaceae
Description: snRNA_08278
Source: RNAcentral
AUCAUAAUAUCGUAUCUUCA